Molecule: transfer RNA, 69 nt
Filed under: Sarcophaga portschinskyi
Lineage: Eukaryota; Metazoa; Arthropoda; Insecta; Diptera; Sarcophagidae
Description: tRNA-Gln
Source: RNAcentral
UAUAUUUUGGUGUAUGAUGCACCAAAGUUUUUGAUACUUUUAGAAAUAGUUUAAUUCUAUUAAAUAUAA